Molecule: long non-coding RNA, 153 nt
Organism: Polyodon spathula (Mississippi paddlefish)
Lineage: Eukaryota; Metazoa; Chordata; Actinopteri; Acipenseriformes; Polyodontidae
Exons: 2
Source: RefSeq, a predicted model, not a curated record
CCCCCCUCUCUCCUGCUCGUAUUAUGAAUAGCUAGUGAAGCACUAUGAAGGGAGCAGAGGCAGGCAGCCGUGUACGCUUUUUGUGCCAAACCAGCCCGGACAGAUCUGUUAGUUCCGUCGCAAAUUCAAAACCAGGACAAGGACACUGAAGAA